Molecule: ribosomal RNA, 389 nt
Filed under: uncultured bacterium
Lineage: Bacteria
Description: bacterial SSU rRNA
Rfam family: Bacterial small subunit ribosomal RNA
Source: RNAcentral
GACGAACGCUGGCGGCGUGCUUAACACAUGCAAGUCGAACGGAGAAGGAGAGCUUGCUCUCCCUAUCAGUGGCGAACGGGUGAGUAACACGUGGGCAACCUGCCCCCAGACUCUGGGAUAACACUUCGAAAGAGGUGCUAAUACCGGAUAUUCGACGAGGUAGUCAUCUACUUCGCCGGAAAGAAUUUCGGUCUGGGAUGGGCCCGCGGCCUAUCAGCUUGUUGGUGAGGUAAUGGCUCACCAAGGCGACGACGGGUAGCCGGCCUGAGAGGGUGACCGGCCACACUGGAACUGAGACACGGUCCAGACUCCUACGGGAGGCAGCAGUGGGGAAUAUUGCACAAUGGGCGAAAGCCUGAUGCAGCAACGCCGCGUGAGGGAUGAAGGCC